UCAGGAUGAACGCUGGCGGCGUGCCUAACACAUGCAAGUCGAGCGAUUCUCUUCGGAGAAGAGCGGCGGACGGGUGAGUAACGCGUGGGUAACCUGCCUCAUACACAUGGAUAACAUACCGAAAGGUAUGCUAAUACAGGAUAAUAUAAGAGAUUCACAUGGAUUUCUUAUCAAAGCUCCGGCGGUAUGAGAUGGACCCGCGUCUGAUUAGCUAGUUGGUAAGGUAACGGCUUACCAAGGCGACGAUCAGUAGCCGACCUGAGAGGGUGAUCGGCCACAUUGGAACUGAGACACGGUCCAAACUCCUACGGGAGGCAGCAGUGGGGAAUAUUGCACAAUGGGCGAAAGCCUGAUUGCAGCAACGCCGCGUGAGUGAUGAAGGCCUUCGGGUCGUAAAACUCUGUCCUCAAGGUAAGAUAAUGACGGUACUUGAGGAGGAAGCCCCGGCUAACUACGUGCCAGCCGCUGC
This 469-nucleotide ribosomal RNA is filed under the name uncultured bacterium. RNAcentral's name for it is "bacterial SSU rRNA". It matches the Rfam family "Bacterial small subunit ribosomal RNA", at positions 24 to 518 of the family's 1533-position model. The record is from RNAcentral.